AACGAACGCUGGCGGCAUGCCUAACACAUGCAAGUCGAACGAGACCUUCGGGUACAGUGGCGCACGGGUGCGUAACGCGUGGGAACCUUCCCUUAGGUUCGGAAUAACUUCCCGAAAGGGGUACUAAUACCGGAUAAUGUCUUCGGACCAAAGAUUUAUCGACUUGGGAUGGGCCCGCGUUGGAUUAGCUAGUUGGUAGGGUAAAAGCCUACCAAGGCGACGAUCCAUAGCUGGUCUGAGAGGAUGAUCAGCCACACUGGGAAUGAGACACGGCCCAGACUCCUACGGGAGGCAGAAGGGGGGAAUAUUGGACAAUGGGCGAAAGCCUGAUCCAGCAAUGCCGCGUGAGUGAUGAAGGCCUGAGGGUUGUAAAGCUCUGUUACCCGGGAUGAUAAUGACAGUACCGGGAGAAUAAGCUCCGGCUAACUCCGUG
RNAcentral lists this ribosomal RNA (433 nucleotides) under uncultured bacterium. RNAcentral describes it as "partial 16S ribosomal RNA". It matches the Rfam family "Bacterial small subunit ribosomal RNA", at positions 29 to 507 of the family's 1533-position model. The record is from RNAcentral.